UGGCCUCUGGAGACGGCGCUGAAGAUUUUUACGCAUGCCAUCCAACUUCUGAGCUGCAUAGCCCUCAGCACUGGAAUUGGGUAAGAAAUGUUACAACAGAUCCCAGCACUCUGCAGUUAGGAAACAAAAUAUUGCACAGUGCCACAUGGAAAAAAAGAAAUCUGAUUAAUUAAAGGUGUGGGUGGGUGCGCAAUUGCAUCAAAUUAUCCAUGCGUCAUGGCGAAAUGGGAGAUAAAUGCAUGGAUAUGGCGUGCCAAGGAGGCAACCAAGUGCACUGGUGUGGGAAUGGGGGUGAUGAGAGCUUGAGGGUCACAUCCAGCAUGGGAUUAAUGCGCAAAAUGCUGGGAAGGAAGGCAGUGGUUGGGAGCUUCCAGCAGCUGUGCUGUGCAUGGAAGGUGGAGGGCUGAUGGUAAAAGUGGUGUCUAAACCACAUGCGUGCGUUGGAUUUGCUCAACUGUAACAGUGGUGACUCAGGUGGAGGGGUGGCUGGAUGUGCCCCACCUUCCCUCACUGCCCCCAGGGGAAGGGAAUACUGUCAUCAGGCAACUGUUCAGGUAGGAAUUGCGUGGUCUGGCCACAGGCAGUGGCUGUCUGGGGUUGUUACAGAGGUGCCUGAGAGGGGAGGAAACUGGCUGUAACAGAGAUCCCUGCCAGGGACACCAGAAGGGAGGCAAGGACAGUGGGUGGGUAUGUUGUGUCCUGUGUAAGGUGUAUCCUCCUGCCGUACAGAGAGCUCUUGGGAGUGGUGAGAGCUGAUUGUCUCCAUCUGUGCUGCUCUGGAAGGGUAUGAGCAUCCCUGUUGCUAUUUAAGAAGAGCAAUGCUGACAGGGAAGCCAGGUGAGGCUGGUAGAAGGGUUGAACAGCUCUCUUGUGGGUAGUGGUGGAGAGCCCUGUAUCCAUCUGCAAUGGUCUUUUGCUCCCAUCAACCCAAUUGAUCUUCCCAAGAGAGGGGUCAGGUGCUGGAACAGCCUCCCCAGGAUGGCGGUUGUGGCAUGAAGCGUGCCAGAGCUCAAGAAGUGUAUGGACAAUGCUCUCAGACAUAGGGUUUGGAUUUUGGGUGGUCUUGUGUGAAGCCAAGGGGUGGACUCAAUUAUGAUUGUGGGUCUUUUACAGUUCAGGAUGUUCUAUGAUUCUAAGAGUGCCAGUUCAUUGUGCUGCAGUGUCCUAGGGGCAUGGUGACUGGUGCACGGCUGCCUAGAGGAUGAAGCAAGGAGACCUGAUGGAUUUUUCCCAGAACAGGAAGUAUUUCAGAAGAAAGCAGCACUGCUGGCAAGGAUCUGCAUGUUAAAGUUGAAGGCAGCAGGGAGAGCCCAAGACAGUGAGCACCAACUCCGGGUGGAGCACGUGAUGUUUUUCAUCCCAGCUCCUCCAGCAUCUCUCAGCCAAGGCUCAGCCCUGAGUCUCCAGGAACCAAUGAAGCUGUUGGUCUCCUUUGGCUCCUGGGAAAUAAAGGGGACAUGCAAAAGGUUUAACUACCUCCAGGUUACCAGACAGCUCCCAGUGCUUUGGCUUCAUCUGUGGAUAAUUGCACUUGGAGGCAUCCAUUCCACCUCUGAUGCCACAGCCCCUGGUGUGGGGUGACUGCUCAGACUCAUGCCAGUGGGUGCCAAAACCAACCCCAAGCUGUCAUGCAUCAGCCCUGCUCAUCCAGCCUGCACUGCUGAUUAAGGCCAGGAGGGGCACACUUCGAUUAAUAAAGAGCAGUGCUGCGAGCA
Molecule: non-coding RNA, 1715 nt
Organism: Phasianus colchicus (ring-necked pheasant)
Lineage: Eukaryota; Metazoa; Chordata; Aves; Galliformes; Phasianidae
Source: RefSeq, a predicted model, not a curated record